AGUCGGCCCCUAAGGCGAGGCAGAAAUGCGUAGUCGAUGGGAAGCUGGUUAAUAUUCCAGCACCUCGCAUAAGUGCGAUGGGGGGACGGAGAAGGUUAGGUCUACCAGGCGUUGGUUGUCCUGGGGAAAGGCGGUAGGAGUGGGUCUUAGGCAAAUCCGGGACCCUUUAACUCCGAGCACCGAGACGAGCUCAUUAGAGCGAAGUGACUGAUACCACGCUUCCAGGAAAAGCCCCUAAGCUUCAGCUUAUGCAGACCGUACCGUAAACCGACACAGGU
Molecule: ribosomal RNA, 278 nt
Filed under: Blepharisma japonicum
Lineage: Eukaryota; Ciliophora; Heterotrichea; Heterotrichida; Blepharismidae
Description: partial Bacterial large subunit ribosomal RNA
Rfam family: Bacterial large subunit ribosomal RNA
Source: RNAcentral